AUUGAACGCUGGCGGCAGGCCUAACACAUGCAAGUCGAGCGGGGAAUGGUAGCUUGCUACCUGACCUAGCGGCGGACGGGUGAGUAAUGCUUAGGAAUCUGCCUAUUAGUGGGGGACAACAUUCCGAAAGGAAUGCUAAUACCGCAUACGCCCUACGGGGGAAAGCAGGGGAUCUUCGGACCUUGCGCUAAUCGAUGAGCCUAAGUCAGAUUAGCUAGUUGGUGGGGUAAAGGCCUACCAAGGCGACGAUCUGUAGCGGGUCUGAGAGGAUGAUCCGCCACACUGGGACUGAGACACGGCCCAGACUCCUACGGGAGGCAGCAGUGGGGAAUAUUGGACAAUGGGCGCAAGCCUGAUCCAGCCAUGCCGCGUGUGUGAAGAAGGCCUUUUGGUUGUAAAGCACUUUAAGCGAGGAGGAGGCUACUGAGAUUAAUACUCUUGGAUAGUGGACGUUACUCGCAGAAUAAGCACCGGCUAACUCUGUGCCAGCAGCCGCGGUAAUACAGAGGGUGCGAGCGUUAAUCGGAUUUACUGGGCGUAAAGCGUGCGUAGGCGGCUUUUUAAGUCGGAUGUGAAAUCCCUGAGCUUAACUUAGGAAUUGCAUUCGAUACUGGGAAGCUAGAGUAUGGGAGAGGAUGGUAGAAUUCCAGGUGUAGCGGUGAAAUGCGUAGAGAUCUGGAGGAAUACCGAUGGCGAAGGCAGCCAUCUGGCCUAAUACUGACGCUGAGGUACGAAAGCAUGGGGAGCAAACAGGAUUAGAUACCCUGGUAGUCCAUGCCGUAAACGAUGUCUACUAGCCGUUGGGGCCUUUGAGGCUUUAGUGGCGCAGCUAACGCGAUAAGUAGACCGCCUGGGGAGUACGGUCGCAAGACUAAAACUCAAAUGAAUUGACGGGGGCCCGCACAAGCGGUGGAGCAUGUGGUUUAAUUCGAUGCAACGCGAAGAACCUUACCUGGUCUUGACAUAGUAAGAACUUUCCAGAGAUGGAUUGGUGCCUUCGGGAACUUACAUACAGGUGCUGCAUGGCUGUCGUCAGCUCGUGUCGUGAGAUGUUGGGUUAAGUCCCGCAACGAGCGCAACCCUUUUCCUUAUUUGCCAGCGGGUUAAGCCGGGAACUUUAAGGAUACUGCCAGUGACAAACUGGAGGAAGGCGGGGACGACGUCAAGUCAUCAUGGCCCUUACGACCAGGGCUACACACGUGCUACAAUGGUCGGUACAAAGGGUUGCUACCUAGCGAUAGGAUGCUAAUCUCAAAAAGCCGAUCGUAGUCCGGAUUGGAGUCUGCAACUCGACUCCAUGAAGUCGGAAUCGCUAGUAAUCGCGGAUCAGAAUGCCGCGGUGAAUACGUUCCCGGGCCU
RNAcentral lists this ribosomal RNA (1359 nucleotides) under uncultured bacterium. RNAcentral describes it as "bacterial SSU rRNA". It matches the Rfam family "Bacterial small subunit ribosomal RNA", at positions 28 to 1381 of the family's 1533-position model. The record is from RNAcentral.